Molecule: long non-coding RNA, 518 nt
Filed under: Monomorium pharaonis (pharaoh ant)
Lineage: Eukaryota; Metazoa; Arthropoda; Insecta; Hymenoptera; Formicidae
Description: uncharacterized LOC105835259, transcript variant X2
Source: RNAcentral
GACGCGAAUGACGCGAUGACCGCUCUCAGGUUCCUCUCUGGUUGUAGAAGAGAGAGGAGAAAAAGCACGAAAUGCAAUUAGAAAAACAAGUGUUAUUUUUAUUCAUUAUCAACCUACACUACACUAUACCUUUUUAAAAUGAGAUGCAUAUGCGUUAGAUGCCGGAGAGAAAAGGAAAAAGGUAGUUGAAGAAACGAAAAUAUAAAGUCGAAAGGUUAGGUUAGGUUGUCGCAAAAAUUUACAACCUUGGAAUAUUGAUAGAAGGUAUUUUCUGUAUGAUUUUUAUUUAUGAGAAAUACAAGUCUGCCGUACCCAUCCGGUAGCGAUGCCGCGAACUGCUUGCAAGUUUUCAAAACCAUUUCAGAGUUUCUUUUCUUUCAAAAUACGGAGGUACGAUGGAUAUAUUUUAAACGCGCGGUAAUUGACGCGAUACAUGCAUUGUCUCUUGCGAAAAUAUAUGUACAGAUAAAGAGAGAUGUAAAACAGUAAUAAUAUAUAAAAAUCGAUAACAAUGUUAA